Hevea brasiliensis (rubber tree) is the source of this 78-nucleotide small nucleolar RNA. RefSeq annotates it as small nucleolar RNA R21. The record is from RefSeq and is a predicted model, not a curated record. NCBI's taxonomy places the organism in Eukaryota, Viridiplantae, Streptophyta, Magnoliopsida, Malpighiales, Euphorbiaceae. The transcript has a single exon.
CAUUCCUUUGGAAAAUGAAAUUUAUAUGUAGAAGUAGUGGACUGAUUUCCAUUGAUGACGAUCAAAUUCUGAGGGAUG